This 253-nucleotide ribosomal RNA is filed under the name uncultured bacterium. RNAcentral's name for it is "partial 16S ribosomal RNA". It matches the Rfam family "Bacterial small subunit ribosomal RNA", at positions 524 to 776 of the family's 1533-position model. The record is from RNAcentral.
UACAGAGGGUGCGAGCGUUAAUCGGAAUUACUGGGCGUAAAGCGUGCGUAGACGGUAGCGUAAGUCAGAUGUGAAAGCCCCGGGCUCAACCUGGGAACUGCAUUUGAGACUGCUCUGCUCGGGUGGGGAAGAGGGAAGCGGAAUUUCCGGUGUAGCGGUGAAAUGCGUAGAUAUCAGGAGGAACACCAAUGGCGAAGGCAGCUCGCUGGGACGGUACUGACGCUGAGACGCGAAAGCGUGGGGAGCAAACAGG